Molecule: ribosomal RNA, 358 nt
Filed under: uncultured bacterium
Lineage: Bacteria
Description: partial 16S ribosomal RNA
Rfam family: Bacterial small subunit ribosomal RNA
Source: RNAcentral
CCUACGGGUGGCAGCAGUGGGGAAUAUUGGGCAAUGGGCGCAAGCCUGACCCAGCAACGCCGCGUGAAGGAAGAAGGCUUUCGGGUUGUAAAAUUCUUUUCUCAGGGACGAAGCAAGUGACGGUACCUGAGGAAUAAGCCACGGCUAACUACGUGCCAACAGCCGCGGUAAUACGUCGGUGGCAAGCGUUAUCCGGAUUUACUGGGUGUAAAGGGCGUGUAGGCGGGAAAGCAAGUCAGAUGUGAAAACCAUGGGCUCAACCUGUGGCCUGCAUUUGAAACUGGUGUUCUUGAGUACUGGAGAGGCAGACGGAAUGCCUGGUGUAGCGGUGAAAUGCGUAGAUAUUAGGAGGAACACC